CCUACGGGUGGCAGCAGUGAGGAAUAUUGGUCAAUGGCCGGGAGGCUGAACCAGCCAAGUCGCGUGAGGGAAGACGGCCCUACGGGUUGUAAACCUCUUUUGUCAGGGAGCAAGGUGCAGGUCGGGACCUGCUGUGAGAGUACCUGAAGAAAAAGCAUCGGCUAACUACGUGCCAGCAGCCGCGGUAAUACGUAGGGGGCAAGCGUUAUCCGGAUUUACUGGGUGUAAAGGGAGCGUAGACGGUGAGACAAGUCUGAAGUGAAAGCCCGGGGCUCAACCCCGGGACUGCUUUGGAAACUGCCUGACUGGAGUGCUGGAGAGGCAAGCGGAAUUACUAGUGUAGCGGUGAAAUGCGUAGAUAUUAGGAAGAACACCAGUGGCGAAGGCGGCUUGCUGGACAGUAACUGACGUUGAGGCUCGAAAGCGUGGGGAGCAAACAGGAUUAGAUACCCGAGUAGUC
This 460-nucleotide ribosomal RNA is filed under the name uncultured bacterium. RNAcentral's name for it is "partial 16S ribosomal RNA". It matches the Rfam family "Bacterial small subunit ribosomal RNA", at positions 338 to 795 of the family's 1533-position model. The record is from RNAcentral.